GGCGGGGCCUUUGUCUGUUGCAUCAGCCCGCCAAGCUUCCUCUGUGUUCGCCGCUCUUCCGCCAUUGCUGUGGGGUUGGGGUGGUUCUGCUGCAGCGUCUGUCCUCUAGGGGUUACUGGAAGAUCUCUGUGGAGGAUGGCAGAAUACCCCAGAAGCCAGGAGCUGGGACUGUUGACAUUCAGGGAUGUGGACAUAGAAUUUUCUCCAGAAGAGUAGGCAUGCCUGGGACCUGCUCAGCAGAAUUUGUAUUGGGAUGUGAUGUUAGAGAACUACAGAAACCUGGUCUCCCUGGGUCUUGCUGUCUUUAGGCCAGACCUGAGCACCUGUCUGGAGUAAAGGAAAGGGCUCUGGAAUGUGAAGAGACAUGAAACUGUAGCAGAACACCCAGGUAGGUGGGACUGAAAGAAGCAGAUGACACAGGUGAGGGGACAAGGAGAAAACCAGACUUUAAAUUGUUGUUUGGGCAGUUCUGCUCCAAUGGAAAUGGUUUCUGAGAAGCCUGUGUUUCUUUCUCUUAA
This is a non-coding RNA of Microcebus murinus (gray mouse lemur), 518 nucleotides long. Lineage: Eukaryota; Metazoa; Chordata; Mammalia; Primates; Cheirogaleidae. The record is from RefSeq and is a predicted model, not a curated record.